CUACGAGCAAUAAUAUUCCGGGUCGACGGCUGAAGUUGCUGACGGGACGCCAUUACUGAGUCGUAGUUAUUUGAAGGAAUUUUGAUGUUGUGUGCCUCGACAACAUCCGGAAGCUGAGAUUCGACUCGUCCAACCAAAUAUUGCACGUAAUGACGUAGAAUGUGACAGUGUUCUCCAUGGCAGUAGUUGGUGCAGACUGCCGAAGUAUUUUAUAGCCAGGAUGAAUCCAGGCAGUGGUAGCCAGGAGUCUGUCAUAUGUGGCUUCUGCAUCAAGGACUAACUGAUGUCAGUCACCCUAUUGUCUAAGGAGCUACAUUGUGAUUUGUGGAGUGAAAGGCUGGCCUGGAAAACAUGCAAAGCACCCACGUACUGCACUGGUGACAUACACUUUGAAGGAGACGGCUCUCUUCCCGUGAUCCACGGAACAACAUUUAAGGUCUUCCCAAGAUGGACGUAUGGAACACUACCUGGAGACCCUACAAAUUUCGAGACGAAUACGAGGAAUUUUUGGAACUCUUGUCUAACAGGAUGUAAAUCCUCAACUACACAUACGCACAUGUAACACACUUCUAGUUUAACAUGAGCUCAGUCCCUGAACAGGAGGCCAUAUGUCCCCAACCACGUGCAGCUAGUCCCUGAGCAGGAUUAUCAGUUUUAAACUGUUCCCUGACGUACAGGCUACGUGAAGGAGGCCCUACACCCUGACAUACUGAACACGGGCAGCUAGUCCCUGAGCAGGAUUAUCAGUUCCGACUGUUUCCUGACAUACAGGCUACGUGAUUCAGUCCCUGUGCA
Molecule: long non-coding RNA, 795 nt
Organism: Cherax quadricarinatus
Lineage: Eukaryota; Metazoa; Arthropoda; Malacostraca; Decapoda; Parastacidae
Source: RefSeq, a predicted model, not a curated record